Molecule: ribosomal RNA, 429 nt
Filed under: Bacteroidota bacterium
Lineage: Bacteria; Pseudomonadati; Bacteroidota
Description: Bacteroidetes bacterium partial 16S ribosomal RNA
Rfam family: Bacterial small subunit ribosomal RNA
Source: RNAcentral
UGGGGAAUCUUCCGCAAUGGACGAAAGUCUGACGGAGCAACGCCGCGUGAGUGAUGACGGUCUUCGGAUUGUAAAGCUCUGUUAAUCGGGACGAAUGGUUUGUGUGCAAAUAGUGCAUAGACAUGACGGGACCGGAAUAGAAAGCCACGGCUAACUACGUGCCAGUAGCCGCGGUAAUACGUAGGUGGCAAGCGUUGUCCGGGAUUAUUGGGCGUAAAGAGCGCGCAGGCGGAGUAGCCAGUCAGUCUUAAAAGUUCGGGGCUUAACCCCGUGAUGGGAUUGAAACUACUAGUCUAGAGGAUCGGAGAGGAAAGUGGAAUUCCUAGUGUAGCGGUGAAAUGCGUAGAUAUUAGGAAGAACACCAGUGGCGAAGGCGACUUUCUGGACGAACACUGACGCUGAGGCGCGAAAGCCAGGGGAGCGAACGGG